Molecule: unclassified non-coding RNA, 1830 nt
Filed under: Octopus sinensis (East Asian common octopus)
Lineage: Eukaryota; Metazoa; Mollusca; Cephalopoda; Octopoda; Octopodidae
Description: histone-arginine methyltransferase CARM1, transcript variant X1
Source: RNAcentral
ACUGGAAUUGUAGCCUCUUUCUGGCCGUAGAACAACAUGGCGGCUGUGUUUGACAACGUGCAUAUAGCUAUUUACAAGGAAAGCGGUUAUUUUGAUAAUUCUGAUAAAGCACCACAUAGAAUUGAAAUUAUUAAGGAACAGAACCAGGUUACUGUGAACUUUUAUUGCGAUGGUUCAAAGAAAAUUGUUAUUCCCAUUGAUUCCAAUGCAGACUAUGCUCGUGUUGGACGACAGUCAAUUGUUUUCUCCAAAGAUCAAACCUCUUUUCAAGCAAAUUUUGCCUCAGUCCAUGUUAUGAAGUCCUUCUUGUACCGUUUGAACGAAUUCACAAAUGGUCGCAAAUCUGUUUUCUCAGAAAGAACAGAUGAUGCAUCAGCAGUGCAGUACUUUCAGUUUUAUGGUUACUUGUCUCAGCAACAGAAUAUGAUGCAAGAUUAUAUUCGAACGUCCACAUAUCAACGUGCAAUGUUGGCUAACAUCGAUGAUUUUCACGACAAGGUCAUACUUGAUGUUGGAGCUGGUUCUGGAAUUCUUUCAUUCUUCGCAAUCCAGGCUGGUGCUCGCAAAGUUUAUGCAAUAGAAGCUAGUAGUAUGGCUCAACAUUGUGAAAUGCUGGUCAAAGAUAACCGACUUGUUGACCAAAUUGUUGUUAUCACGGGCAAAGUCGAGGAUGUUACAAUACCCGAGGAAGUUGACACAAUUAUUUCAGAACCUAUGGGAUAUAUGUUGUUCAAUGAACGUAUGCUAGAAAGUUUCCUUCAUGCCAAAAAAUGGCUGAAGCCUGGAGGUCGGAUGUUUCCUACACAAGGUGAUCUCCAUGUUGCACCUUUUACUGAUGAAGCCUUAUAUAUGGAACAGUAUUCUAAAGCAAACUUCUGGUAUCAAGAGUCAUUCCAUGGCGUUAACCUCAUAAGUUUAAGAAAUGCCGCUGUUACUGAAUAUUUUAGGCAACCAAUUGUCGAUACAUUUGACAUCCGAAUAUGCCUUGCUAAAUCCAACAAACAUGUGGUUGACUUCCAGAAAGCUCGAGAACAAGAUCUUCACAUCAUUGACAUUCCUUUGACCUUCAGUAUGAUGCAGUCAGGACUUGUACAUGGUCUUGCCUUCUGGUUUGAUGUUGCCUUUUUUGGCACAAACAACUCUGUGUGGUUGUCAACUGCACCCACGGAAGCUCUUACUCAUUGGUAUCAAGUUCGCUGUCUUGUGCAAACUCCAGUUUUAGUGAAACAGGGUCAAACAUUGACGGGAAAAGUUCUUUUAAGAUGUAAUAAACGACAAAGUUAUGAUGUUGAUAUUGAACUGAAUAUACCAGGAACCAAUACAAAAUCUACCAAUUCACUCGAUUUAAAAAAUCCUUACUUUCGAUACACUGGUCAAACACCACAGCCUCCAGCAGGAAAUAGCAACCAGUCGCCAUCAGAUUCAUAUUGGAAUAGUGUAGCAACUGGUAAUUUGUCAAACAAUUGUUUAUCAGGAAAUCAGUCUUCCUAUAUCAAUGGAAUCUUAAAUGGUUUAACAGAUAAUACUCAAGUAAUUGCUCAACAAGGUGUUGUCCAAACUAAUCUGAUACCACUCUAUGCCAGUUCCGAUGAUGUGGAACCACGGUACCCAAUGCAACGUGGUGCUGAGGGCGUGGCUGGACAGUGGUGGUGUCAGUGAAUCUCAACUAUCUACAUUAAGGGGGGGUAGGUCCUCAUCAAAUUUUUGCGAGCCACAAUUGCACCCAUCAACCCGGGCAGCAUUCCCAGUGUUGUUAACCCUGUCUCAAAUGCCAAUGCCAACCGCACCUCAAUUGGAGGAGGAAUCAGCCCAGCCAGCUUUAGUUCACAG